This 200-nucleotide ribosomal RNA is filed under the name uncultured bacterium. RNAcentral describes it as "partial 16S ribosomal RNA". It matches the Rfam family "Bacterial small subunit ribosomal RNA", at positions 28 to 232 of the family's 1533-position model. The record is from RNAcentral.
GACAAACGCUGGCGGCGUGCUUAACACAUGCAAGUCGAGCGGAAAGGCCCUUCGGGGUACUCGAGCGGCGAACGGGUGAGUAACACGUGAGCAACCUGCCCCUAGCUCUGGGAUAGCUCCGGGAAAACCGGGAUUAAUACCAGAUACGACCACUUUAGACAUCUGCUGUGGUGGAAAGGAUUCCGGCUAGGGAUGGGCUC